GAUGAACGCUGGCGGCGUGCCUAAUACAUGCAAGUCGAGCGAACAGACGAGGAGCUUGCUCCUCUGACGUUAGCGGCGGACGGGUGAGUAACACGUGGAUAACCUACCUAUAAUACUGGGAUAACUUCGGGAAACCGGAGCUAAUACCGGAUAAUAUAUUGAACCGCAUGGUUCAAUAGUGAAAGACGGUUUUGCUGUCACUUAUAGAUGGAUCCGCGCCGCAUUAGCUAGUUGGUAAGGUAACGGCUUACCAAGGCAACGAUGCGUAGCCGACCCGAGAGGGUGAUCGGCCACACUGGAACUGAGACACGGUCCAGACUCCUACGGGAGGCAGCAGUAGGGAAUCUUCCGCAAUGGGCGAAAGCUUGACGGAGCAACGCCGCGUGAGUGAUGAAGGUCUUCGGAUCGUAAAACUCUGUUAUUAGGGAAGAACAAAUGUGUAAGUAACUAUGCACGUCUUGACGGUACCUAAUCAGAAAGCCACGGCUAACUACGUG
Molecule: ribosomal RNA, 497 nt
Filed under: uncultured bacterium
Lineage: Bacteria
Description: partial 16S ribosomal RNA
Rfam family: Bacterial small subunit ribosomal RNA
Source: RNAcentral